CAGAAAAUAUACUAAAAGAAUUAGGAAAUCUGACAAACUUGCAUUGGGCAGGUUGGAUUUGGAAAAUAAUAGAUUAACUGGCCAAAUACCAUCUUCCCUUGGCAAUCUAAAUAAGCUCCAAUUCUUGACACUAAGUAAAAACAAUCUCAAUGGCACUAUACCAGAGUCACUUGGCAAUCUCCCAAGCUUGAUCAAUGUCAUGUUCGAUUCAAAUGAUCUUAGUGGUGAAAUCUGGGAGCAGUUGUUCAAA
Arachis ipaensis is the source of this 250-nucleotide non-coding RNA. The record is from RefSeq and is a predicted model, not a curated record. Lineage: Eukaryota; Viridiplantae; Streptophyta; Magnoliopsida; Fabales; Fabaceae.